GGUGUCCACGGCAUAAUUGGGGUUAAGCCACUUAGUCAUGAAGGCAAGUGUAUGUGCAACAAGGAAUCUCUAAUCCUCGAUAAGAGAGGAAGAAUACUCUAAGAUAUGAUUCGGGAAUCUUCGGCCGAAGUAUCGAGCGUAUUGAAAGGAAAGUGUUCCUAUACGACUCAAAAGAAUCAUAUAUGAAGGAAUAAUCACAUUAGGGGUUUGACAUGAUAUAUCCAUACCCUAAUGAUGUGAUUGAGAGUAUUGUAUUAGAGAAGGAUUGAAUUACAUUGUAAUACCAACUGACUAGGUUCUUCGAAUAAACUUCUACAUUAGCUUGGGUAGCUAUGACAUAUGGUUAGAUGU
RNAcentral lists this long non-coding RNA (351 nucleotides) under Malus domestica (apple). RNAcentral's name for it is "long non-coding RNA (MDOM_LNC003850)". Lineage: Eukaryota; Viridiplantae; Streptophyta; Magnoliopsida; Rosales; Rosaceae. The record is from RNAcentral.